GCCGAACCCGUGCCUGAUCCUUCUUCUCUUCCUCUUCUUUUCUCCUCCCCAACGGCGCCGUUUCUCCUCCCCCAACCCGAUCGCUUACCCCCUAAUUCCUUUUAUCUCCUCACGAUCCACAUCCAUCGUCGAUUCCUCUUCUCCCCAACCAAAGUCAAACCUUUGCUCUUCUCGUCUCUGCCCUAGAGCCUCUGCCUCGAUUUCCCCUCUUCGACUCCACCGCUCGACGCUAACCACGCCACCGUUCGCACUCGAUCUUCAACCUCUUCCUUGCGAUCGCGCCGGCGACGCUCGAGCCAUAGCCGACCAAGCUUCUGCUUUCACGUCUCUGAGUCCUCUUCCUUUCGGCCACCUAGCAGUGCCCUAGACCUUCCCCUUCCUCUCCGAUCGACGUCGAUCUGCCGCCUGAUCUGCCCUCUAGCCGGCGUUAUGGAUCCGCCCUCUAGCCGGCGUUAUGGAUCCGCCCCGACGAUGUUAUGGAUCCACCCCGAUGAUGAGACAUCAACGCCGGCACUGUCAGUCGUUGUCGAUCUACACAGUCGUUGUUUCCCUGAGCCGACGCCGAGUUUCCUUCCGAUCAGUUGAGCGUCAACAGAAGCUUUGGUUUGGGUUGAGACCGUCAAGAGAUUUCAAUUGCUAGUCCCCACUUCGUGUCGCGACGAUAUUUUGCUUACAGACUUGGUUCCUUGUUUUUGUGUUAAUCUACUUGUUGAUCUAUAUACUUGUGAUUGUACUCGAGGAUUUUUUUUGUCAAGUGUUGGUCUAAUACACUUAUUUUUUUGUUGCGUUGGUU
This is a long non-coding RNA of Zingiber officinale, 793 nucleotides long. RefSeq lists it as uncharacterized. The transcript is spliced from 2 exons. Lineage: Eukaryota; Viridiplantae; Streptophyta; Magnoliopsida; Zingiberales; Zingiberaceae. The record is from RefSeq and is a predicted model, not a curated record.